Long non-coding RNA from Cyprinus carpio (common carp), 992 nucleotides. The record is from Ensembl. Lineage: Eukaryota; Metazoa; Chordata; Actinopteri; Cypriniformes; Cyprinidae.
AUGAGGAAGAACAGUCUAAUGGUGCGUUCAGGAGAAAGAUUUAGGAGGUUCUUCCAAAUGCGCCACAACAUUCUGGCCAGAAAAGACUGGUGCAACAUCAGAUGGAGGCCAAUGAAAAUUAGCCACACAAACCAGCAGGAUGGAAAUAGUUGUAGGGUUUUUGUUAUAAAGUUUGGCAAGGUAAUACUGUCAGAAUUCCCUGAUGUCCCCAACGAUAUUUCCAUCGACGCAAGCCUGGAGGCAGUUACUGAAAUUAGGCAACAGAUGGCAGCUACUAUUAUAGCAUCUUCAGAGCCUAUUCAAAGUGUUUGCCAGCUGUGUGGCUGCAAAGAGACAGCUGAGAAUGAACUCUGGAUCCAGUGUGAUAGCUGCUUGCUCUGGACACAUACAAAGUGCACUGACCUGACACAGAAGGAGGUGGACGUAGUAACCAAGGAUAACAGUCCAUGGUUUUGCAAAUUUUGCAUUGUGUAAAUAUACACGAUAUGACACAGCAAUUGAAAGCAAUACUCUAUUUUGGCUGUUUAAGAAAGGUUCUUUAAAAAUGUAAAAAAUAAGACAAUGUUGUCAUGCAUUACUGUGGAUAAAAAAUUAUUUUGAAAUCUGAAACUAAAACUGUAACACAAAGAAGAACAAAUAGCUGUCAAAAAAUAAGACAGAAAAUAAGUUGUUAAAGACUUUCAAUGACCUUCAAACUCUAUUUUAAACAUCUUGUACCAAUUUGAAAGGUUCUUAAAAAUUUUUAAUCGAAAUACGGUGAAGUUGACAAGCCUUGAAAACUGUAAAUGUGAAAGUCAAGAUUAUUUGUUAGUUUCCUCUUCAAGUGUGUUGGCUAAAACAAAUUUUAAGAAUUAAAAUACUUCAUAUGUACAGAAUUUAAAACAUAAGUACUGUUUUCCAGUUAAGUUACAUGUAUCAGGCAGAUGGCUUUCUCAGCCCUGUAACACCACCUUUUCAAUAAAGCUAUUAAUUAAAAUGUUUCUGACUGUUCA